Molecule: ribosomal RNA, 397 nt
Filed under: uncultured bacterium
Lineage: Bacteria
Description: bacterial SSU rRNA
Rfam family: Bacterial small subunit ribosomal RNA
Source: RNAcentral
GGCCGCGGGAGUUCGAUUGAGGCCUAACACAUGCAAGUCGAACGGCAGCACGGGUGCUUGCACCUGGUGGCGAGUGGCGAACGGGUGAGUAAUAUAUCGGAACGUACCUUAUUGUGGGGGAUAACGCAGCGAAAGCUGUGCUAAUACCGCAUAAUCCCUAAGGGGGAAAGCGGGGGACCGUAAGGCCUCGCGCAAUUAGAGCGGCCGAUACCUGAUUAGCUAGUUGGUGAGGUAAAGGCUCACCAAGGCAACGAUCAGUAGCUGGUCUGAGAGGACGAUCAGCCACACUGGGACUGAGACACGGCCCAGACUCCUACGGGAGGCAGCAGUGGGGAAUUUUGGACAAUGGGGGCAACCCUGAUCCAGAAAGGCCGCGUGAGUGAAGAAGGCCUUCGGG